RNAcentral lists this long non-coding RNA (2471 nucleotides) under Homo sapiens (human). Its description in RNAcentral is "HSALNT0055193". Lineage: Eukaryota; Metazoa; Chordata; Mammalia; Primates; Hominidae. The record is from RNAcentral.
CUCCCUCCAGCCUUCACACUCUUGUAGUUUAAGAAUGAGAUAAUCUUGUAGCUGCUGGGAGUUUCCAUGAAGGGGGACUGGCCCAGGAAUGAGGUCAACCAGAGAAAAGUAGAGCCCUGAGAGAGGGACUAGGUCCUGAAGACUUCAUUUAAGACACAGGAUCCAGCCUUGCUUGAUGUCAUUACUCCUAGACUUUCACGUACAAGAGCCAAAAAAUUGUCUUUUCUUCCCCCUUAACCCAGGGCUCCUGCAACCAAAAGAACACUUGACUGUGGCAUCUUUCCAGCCUCCUGUUAGCAGCUAGGUAAGGUGCCCCCAUGGCAAGGAGCUGCGGGCAGCCUCAAGAAACUGGGUGGCCUCUUAGGACCUGAGGGCAGCCUCCAACAAGCAAGCAGCAAACCUCUGGGGCCUUCUGUUCUACAACUGCAAGGAAAUAAAUUCUGCCAACAGCCUGAAUGAGCACGGAAGUGAACUCUUUCUCAGUCGAGCCUCUGAAUGAGAACACAGUUCAACUCAUGCCUUGACUGCAGCUUGUGAGAGUCUGAGAAGAGGACCAGGAAUUGACGGCGCACAGGGAACAGUUUCUACUGCUGUCCUUCCCGUUACCUCCUCCAAUGGGGCUUCAGUCACCACCUCUCUGGAAGGUGAUGAUGGUCGGCAGCUCCAUAUCGCCAGCCGUGACUCUGCCCUGAAAUCUAGCCCAAGGGAGCCAACUGCCUGUUUUGUCAGGACUCAUGAUCCUGAAGACAAUGAAGAAGAAAUAUGACAGUCGGUCCCGAGUGUGGAAUGAACACUCUGCUCUCCCAGCUGGGGAACUCCGUGAGGACCCACAUAAGCAAUGCAGAAGCAUUGGGAAACACAUGCAAUAACUGGGGCCAUCUGUUUUCUCCUGAAAACUAGUGGUGGGCUGGAUUCUCUGAAGAGUUUCUCAAGGCAUGUUGGACCAGAACAACCUGCUCAGAGAAGAGGCAAGGUCCCUGCCUGGGCCUCUGAGGUGUUGGAGGUGGGGCCAGCCCACCCCCAGGCCGUGAGGCCUGGCUGCUGGAAGGAGGCAGGACCCAGAAGGUUGCUGCCAUCCUGGGGUGUCUGAGUCCCCAUGUGGCCCAGCUGUGUUCCUGCUGGCCCGGCAUCCACACCCUUGUCUCUGGAUGUGCGGUGGGAGAAUUGUCUUUCUCCACGAACAGGCCAGGUGGUUCCUGGGAUUGACCUCUCUCUCCCAGGUGUGGACAAGCAGAGCAUCCUACGUCCCCAGCUACAGCGACUGGCUGAUAUGGUUUGGCUGUGUCCCCACCCAAAGCUCAUCUUGAAUUCCCACGUGUUGUGGGAGGGACCCAGUGGGAGGUAAUUGAAUCAUGGGGGCAGGUCUUUCCUGUGCUGUUCUCAUGAUAGUGAGUAAAUCUCACAAGAUCUAAUGGUUUUAUAAGGAGGCUGCACAAGCUCUUUCUCUGCCUGCUGCCAACCAUGUAAGAUGUGACUUGCUCCUCCUUUGCCUUCCACCAUGAUUAUGAGGCUUCUCCUGCCACAUGGAACUGUGAGUCCAUUAAAAUCUUUUUCCUGGAUAAAUUACCUAGUCUCGGGUAUGUCUUUAUCAGCAGCGUGAAAACGGACUAAUACGCUGGGCUAGGCUUGGUCAUGUGACCCAGGCCAAUCAAUGAAAUACAGGCUUGGGACUUUUGCAGGGAUAAUUUAGACAGGAAGGCUCUUUUCCCAUUAGGGUGCUAGGCUGGGCUAAUAUGUCAAACCAGCUGGUGGUCUCCCUCUUUAACCACAUGGAGAAAUCCCUUGCAAGUAGAAAAAAAAAAGCAAAGCUAUUAGACAGAGGAGGGUAGAGCUGAAGAUGGGGUGAUAGACAGCCCUGAUGACAUUGUUUGAAUCCCUGGAUCCAGGUGGUCCUGAAGCCUGCCUACCACCCCUGGUCUUUUAGGUAUUUGAACCCAUCACUUCCUUGUUUUGCUUAAACAAACUGUGGUUAGGUUCAGAAUCCUGGUUUAAACACCCGUCCCUGAGUUCUUUCAUAGGUUGCACUUGCUGUCCCAGGGCCUUUACUGUCUAGGUUGGAUGAUAGGUACACAGCCUUUCUCCUGUACUGGGGUGGAAGCCCUGGUGCCUGCUAUAUCUGGGCUUUGAUGCCUGGGUCAGGAUCUUGAAACUUCUCUGCAGGCAUUUCCUUUCAUGGGAAGCCCAGCAACUUGGCUGUUAGACUUGAGGUCAAAUCCUGGUCCUGCCACUGGGCAGGUGACCCUGUCUGCACCCCACUAUCCUCAUCUUUACAUUCUCCUGGGGAUAAUAUCCCCACCUCCCAGGAUGUCGGGGGAAUGAAUGAGAGAUGCUGUGAAGCACCAGGCAAGGUGCUGGUGGAUGUGGGAGCUGUUUCAAUUAUUGUUAUUUGUGCCUCACACACCCAGAGUGAAAGGGAAGCUGUGGGCUGGUCUCACAGGCCAGCCCCUGCAGCCUCUGAGUUUUUUAAUGAA